RNAcentral lists this ribosomal RNA (431 nucleotides) under uncultured Raoultella sp. RNAcentral's name for it is "bacterial SSU rRNA". It matches the Rfam family "Bacterial small subunit ribosomal RNA", at positions 355 to 774 of the family's 1533-position model. The record is from RNAcentral. Lineage: Bacteria; Pseudomonadati; Pseudomonadota; Gammaproteobacteria; Enterobacterales; Enterobacteriaceae.
UGGGGAAUAUUGCACAAUGGGCGCAAGCCUGAUGCAGCCAUGCCGCGUGUAUGAAGAAGGCCUUCGGGUUGUAAAGUACUUUCAGCGAGGAGGAAGGCAUUAAGGUUAAUAACCUUAGUGAUUGACGUUACUCGCAGAAGAAGCACCGGCUAACUCCGUGCCAGCAGCCGCGGUAAUACGGAGGGUGCAAGCGUUAAUCGGAAUUACUGGGCGUAAGCAGCACGCAGGCGGUUUGUUUAUAGUCAGAUGUGAAAUCCCCGGGCUCAACCUGGGAACUGCAUUUGAAACUGGCAAGCUUGAGUCUUGUAGAGGGGGGUAGAAUUCCAGGUGUAGCGGUGAAAUGCGUUAGAGAUCUGGAGGAAUACCGGUGGCGAAGGCGGCCCCCUGGACAAAGACUGACGCUCAGGUGCGAAAAGCGUGGGGAGCAAACA